GUUGUCCUGGGGUAAGCAUGUAGGGCGGAACGUAGGUAAAUCCGCGUUCUAUUCAGCCUGAGAUGUGAUGCCGAGCCGAUUGUGGUGAAGUGGAUGAUCCUAUGCUGCCGAGAAAAGCCUCUAGUGAGUGUUGUGGCGGCCCGUACCCUAAACCGACUCAGGUGGUCAGGUAGAGAAUACCAAGGCGAUCGGGUGAACUGUGGUUAAGGAACUCGGCAAAUUGCCCCCGUAACUUCGGGAGAAGGGGGACCUCUGCUGGUGAUGGGCUUUACGUUCUGAGCUGGUGGGGGUCGCAGUGGCCAGGGGGAAGCGACUGUUUACUAAAAACACAGGUCCGUGCGAAGUCGUAAGACGAUGUAUACGGACUGACGCCUGCCCGGUGCCGGAACGUUAAGGGGACCGCUUAGCCAACGCGAGUUGGCGAAGGUGAGAACUUAAGCGCCGGUAAACGGCGGUGGUAACUAUAACCAUCCUAAGGUAGCGAAAUUCCUUGUCGGGUAAGUUCCGACCUGCACGAAUGGCGUAACGACUUCCCCGCUGUCUCAACCACAGACCCGGCGAAAUUGCACUACGAGUAAAGAUGCUCGUUUCGCGCAGCAGGACGGAAAGACCCCGGGACCUUCACUACAGCUUGACAUUGGCGUUUGGAACGUCUUGUGUAGGAUAGUGGGAGACUGGGAAGCUGUCACGCUAGUGAUGGUGGAGUCAUUGGUGAAAUACCACUCUGGUCGUUUUGAACGUCUAACUCUGGUCCGUGAUCCGGAUCGGGGACAGUGUCUGGUGGGUAGUUUAACUGGGGCGGUUGCCUCCUAAAGAGUAACGGAGGCGCCCAAAGGUUCCCUCAGCCUGGUUGGCAAUCAGGUGUUGAGUGUAAGUGCACAAGGGAGCUUGACUGUGAGACUGACAGGUCGAGCAGGAGCGAAAGCUGGGACUAGUGAUCCGGCAUCGGCGUGUGGAAGCGGUGUCGCUCAACGGCUAAAAGGUACCCCGGGGAUAACAGGCUGAUCUUCCCCAAGAGUCCAUAUCGACGGGAUGGUUUGGCACCUCGAUGUCGGCUCGUCGCAUCCUGGGGCUGGAGUAGGUCCCAAGGGUUGGGCUGUUCGCCCAUUAAAGCGGUACGCGAGCUGGGUUUAGAACGUCGCGAGACAGUUCGGUCCCUAUCCGCUGCGCGCGCAGGAGACUUGAAGGGGGCUGUCCCUAGUACGAGAGGACCGGGACGGACGAACCUCUGGUGUGCCAGUUGUACCGCCAGGUGCACGGCUGGUUGGCUACGUUCGGAAGGGAUAACCGCUGAAAGCAUCUAAGCGGGAAGCUCGCCUUGAGAUGAGGUCUCCCACCCCGUGAGGGGGUAAGGCUCCCGGUAGAUCACCGGGUUGAUAGGCCGGAGGUGGAAGCACGGUAACGUGUGGAGCUGACCGGUACUAAUAGGCCGAGGACUUGAUCA
This 1444-nucleotide ribosomal RNA is filed under the name metagenome. RNAcentral describes it as "bacterial LSU rRNA". It matches the Rfam family "Bacterial large subunit ribosomal RNA", at positions 1501 to 2925 of the family's 2925-position model. The record is from RNAcentral.